RNAcentral lists this long non-coding RNA (3423 nucleotides) under Gigantopelta aegis. RNAcentral's name for it is "uncharacterized LOC121383178". Lineage: Eukaryota; Metazoa; Mollusca; Gastropoda; Neomphalida; Peltospiridae. The record is from RNAcentral.
GCAGAAAAAUAUAUUUGAUUUGUAAUUAUAAUCAUUAAAAAGUCUCUGUUAGUCGAUAACAUCUUAAAAAUUGCAGCAAACCCAGGAAUGUCCCUUUAAUAAUAGCAAAUCUGAACGAAAAAAACGUAAUACACAAUGUACGUGAUUAGGGCCAUAUCUCUGCACAAUGCAGAGUCAAAUGGAUAUUUAGCAAAAUAGUGGUGAAUUCCAAGACUCUCUAUCUAGUACCUAGUCUGUAGGAGGACAGCCAUUCCUGAGGAGAUCCUUCCCUGAACAAUACACCCUUCCUGCACCGCUCAAAAGAGGACUCUCAGACUAGUUUACAAGAUCAAAACUAGCACUGGACACAGCUCAUUGGAAUAAGUACAGCUGUGAUGACAUGCACUCAUGAAUCACUGUCAUAUCACUGUAUUUAAUGACACACUCAAAUCAUUUCAAUUACAACGACAUGGUGUUGAACAUAUUAUGGUUAAAGACCACACAGAUAAUUAGAAGGAAAACCUGUUGCCAUCAUGCAAUGGUCUACAUUUUCUGAUUAGAAGCAAGGGAUACAUGUACCUCGAUUGGAGGUAUAGAUGCCAAUUUAUAUUGAAGAAUGGCAUCUAACAGGAGAAACAUAAAAUUGAUGAUCUGUUCUGAAUGUUUAAUUAUUUAAAAUAUACAAUGUAGUUUGUGAAUGCAGCUUUAAUAAUGUAGUACAAAUAUUUAUUGAUAAGCAAGCAAACCUACAUUUAAUCAAAGAAACAUAUUUACAUAUUCCAUAACGACAUUCUAAAAAUUGCCAGUUUGUUUUGUUUAAAUGUUAUCUGAUGUCUGUUACGAAAGCAAUGUGUAUAUCUGUAAAUACACAUCUAUACACUUUUUAAAAAAUACGGAGCUAUCACUUGGUCCAGAAAUAUGUGCUACAAUACAUUUCUGACUGUGCAAUAUGUUACCACAACCCAGUACCUGUCUAAGUCUUGCAAUGCAACUUACUUGUAAAAUUACAUGGUAGAGUAAUACUGUUACAGAGUUGAAUAGACAUCUUGUGUUAAAUGUUAGUUUUGGGUGAAUAAUUGUAAAGUCAAUUUAAAGAGAGAGAAAUUCUGAAGUCCAUGCAGUUAUUUAUAUGCCACAGCAGUAUGUAAUGGUCACAGUGAUACUAAUAUGUUUUGGGAGAGAGGAUGGAUAGGGAGAAAGAUAAUUUCUUGGUUCCCCAAAAUAAAUAAAACCUGGGCAAUGACAAUGCCACCACCACAUCACAGUAAUUAAAUGCUCUUUAACAUAUACUAUUUUAAUAUUAUAUAUCUUUAUUCUGCUCUCUAACUAUUUGCACCAUUUGUUUUUCAUAAGAAAAUAGUUUUUGUUGUUGUUAAAUUGGCAUUCUUAAAACCUGUUGUCCAUGGGGAAAAUUAAAUUGGCAUUCUAUUCUUAAAAACUGUUGUUCACGGAGAUAAUUAAAUAUUCCUUUAUUAAACCUCUCGCCCAUGGGGUAGAUACCCCAUCAGUUAAACCCUCACUAUCCCACAUACUGCACAGUCAUUAACACUGCUACAUGUUUGCUAAUUAAAACACUGCAUGUCAGUGUUGUGCAUUAGGCCUAUGUGACUUCGUACUAAUCCAAGAUAUUCACAUUGUAUGGGUUUGUGUUGUUUGUUUAGUGAAUUCCUAUACAGUGCUAAAUUUAAUAUCUUCACGCAAUUAUACUUCUUUGUUGUGAAAAUCUUAUUAUUAUUUUCAUGUUAUUAGAACAUUUAUUUAUUGUUACACUUUUAAUAUUUUAUAGAUUUGCUUGAAUUGUAAAGUAUGCUGCAUUAUAUUUACAUAGCUCUUUUGGAAACAGCAUGUAUCAGUUAAUAUUUGAGUGUGUUGGAUUGGUGUUGGGGGGUUUUAAUAUUAAUACACAGCUACAAGGAUAACAUUUGUUUCAAUAUACCGUACACAAAGUUAACAAAGAAUAUUUUUUACCUUUAUGGUUUUAGUAUUGUUUGGUUUUUAAAUAUAAAGAUGACAAAAACAUUAUUUUAAAAUAAACACAAUAGUUUAAUACAUGUACAAGUACCAGGUGCAAUCCAGUUUGCAGCAGCCAUUCUAGAGGUAACUAUAAUGUAAUGCAUUUAAUCAAAUGAUAACAAUUUAUUUUAUAUUUAUUCUAAUACAUUGGCAAUGUACUAUCAGUUCAGGAAAUGCAGCUAACUUUUGUUGUGUAUAAAUAAUUGUGUGCAAUGGCAUGUUCACCAAAUUCAAAAGGUGAAGGCAUGUUCACCAAAUUCAAAAGGUGUAGGCAUGCACUUGUAACGUUUUUUCCCCCAACAAUUGAUAUUCUGGUUUUUUGCAUAAUAAUUGUUCUCAUGGAAUAUUAGUGUUUUUGUCGUAUACAGUUAAAGUUAUGUUUAAGUAAAUUUUUAUUCCAGUGACCUGAUAUUUACAUUACCCACCUACACACACACACACACACUCUCUCUCUCUCUCUCUCUCCCCCAGUUUUAAAUACUAAUCAUUAAAAUGUGAAUCUGAUGUAUGCUAUUUUCCUGUAUAAACGUCUUGCAAAACUCUUAGUUGUGCAAUUUGUUACUUGUAUUUUUCUUACAGUUUGUGAAAACAGAUCUGCAACCAUUUAUUUUUGUUUGCUCAAAUUGUAGAGCAAUUAUUGUGUACUUGCACUGUGAUAUUGUUUCAUUUAUGCCCAGUAAUUACAAUGAAUGAGAUGAGGUGUAUCAUCAUUGUCAAUGUUUGAUGUUUGGGGUGUGCCACAUGCAGACAGUAAUUAUAAUGUAUGAGAUGAGGUGUAUCAUCAUUGUCAAUGUUUGAUGUUUGGGGUGUGCCACAUGCAGACAGUAAUUAUAAUGUAUGAGAUGAGGUGUAUCAUCAUUGUCAAUGUUUGAUGUUUGGGGUGUGCCACAUGCAGACAGUAAUUAUAAUGUAUGAGAUGAGGUGUAUCAUCAUUGUCAAUGUUUGAUGUUUGGGGUGUGCCACAUGCAGACAGUAAUUACAAUGUAUGAGAUGAGGUGUAUCAUCAUUGUCAAUGUUUGGGGUGUGCCACAUGCAAACAGUAAUUACAUGUACUUAACUAUUUCGCUGUAUCAGGAGCAUGUCACAUGUAUGGAGAUUGCUCCAUAAGGACAACUAACAUCUACAUCAUUCUUAUGCAGAAAAGCAAAUUUAUGGAAACAGCAUGAUCUCUACAUUUUAAUUAACUGAUAUUAGAUGCCAGGUGUAAAGAACACUAUGCUAAGUUGCACCUCAAUUAUAUGAUAUUAAACAAGCUUCCAUUUUGUAUCAUGUUUAUGUCUCGAGUAAAAUAAUUUUCAAUUGUCACGAGCAGUAGAGAAUGUAUGUACUAGUAUUAAUAAACUAUUUUAAAGCAGCAAUGCUAAAAUCAAUAUGUAUAUGUAAGGUCAUGAAAUAAAGUGUUCUUGCUAAUAAAUGAUUCUUAUGUGAAAA